GAGUUUGAUCUGGCUCAGAUUGAACGCUAGCGGGAUGCUUUACACAUGCAAGUCGAACGGCAGCACGAGAGAGCUUGCUCUCUUGGUGGCGAGUGGCGGACGGGUGAGUAAUAUAUCGGAACGUGCCCAGUAGCGGGGGAUAACUACUCGAAAGAGUGGCUAAUACCGCAUACGCCCUACGGGGGAAAGGGGGGGAUUCUUCGGAACCCCUCACUAUUGGAGCGGCCGAUAUCGGAUUAGCUAGUUGGUGGGGUAAAGGCUCACCAAGGCAACGAUCCGUAGCUGGUUUGAGAGGACGACCAGCCACACUGGGACUGAGACACGGCCCAGACUCCUACGGGAGGCAGCAGUGGGGAAUUUUGGACAAUGGGGGAAACCCUGAUCCAGCCAUCCCGCGUGUAUGAUGAAGGCCUUCGGGUUGUAAAGUACUUUUGGCAGAGAAGAAAAGGUAUCUCCUAAUACGAGAUACUGCUGACGGUAUCUGCAGAAUAAGCACCGGCUAACUACGUGCCAGCAGCCGCGGUAAUACGUAGGGUGCAAGCGUUAAUCGGAAUUACUGGGCGUAAAGCGUGUGUAGGCGGUUCGGAAAGAAAGAUGUGAAAUCCCAGGGCUCAACCUUGGAACUGCAUUUUUAACUGCCGAGCUAGAGUAUGUCAGAGGGGGGUAGAAUUCCACGUGUAGCAGUGAAAUGCGUAGAUAUGUGGAGGAAUACCGAUGGCGAAGGCAGCCCCCUGGGAUAAUACUGACGCUCAGACACGAAAGCGUGGGGGAGCAAACAGGAUUAGAUACCCUGGUAGUCCCACGCCCUAAACGAUGUCAACUAGCUGUUGGGGGCCCGUUAGGCCCUUAGUAGCGCAGCUAACGCGUGAAAGUUUGACCCGCCUGGGGAGUACGGGUCGCAGAUUUAAAAACUCAAAGAAUUGACGGGGACCCGCACAAGCGGUGGAUGAUGUGGAUUAAUUUCGAUGCAACGGCGAAGAACCCUUACCAA
Molecule: ribosomal RNA, 991 nt
Filed under: uncultured bacterium
Lineage: Bacteria
Description: bacterial SSU rRNA
Rfam family: Bacterial small subunit ribosomal RNA
Source: RNAcentral